GGCCUGGCGCGUCCGCCGAGCGCGGGGGUUUGUUUAUUUUCCCGGUUGGUAGCGGCGCUGGCGCUGGUUAGAGGUUCGCCGGUGACGUGAGCGCCCGAGUUGGGGGAGAGGACCAGAACCACCUGCUGGAGAAAGGGAGCUACGGGGGCCGGGCAGGGUCCAAACGCCUCACGUGGGCGGCGGCGCCACGGUCUUCGGGGUCACAGGGAAGAGAAGGGCUCUCCUCAAGCGGGUGGAAGGAGGGAGGCCUCCCGAGGGAAUGAGACUCCAGGCCACUCCCCCGCAGCAAGGCAGGAUCACCUGCGUCGCGGAGAGCAGUUAGAGGUCCCUGGAGUGGAAAAGGGCAGUGGGACCUGGUAGCUUGGGUUCCCUGCAACUUGGGGUUCGACCUCCAGGCAAUGAAGUAGGGAUGGUCCUGCAAGUCAAGAUUCCAGUAGCAAGAGUGCAUCAGAUCUCUGUAAGGAAAAUAACUAACAUUGCUCAGUUCCCUGUAGAGUUGCAGGGCGCUUUGACGUUAUCUCCCUUGGUUCUCCAUCAGGUCGUAGUGGACUAAUUUUACAGGCGAAGUUAAGUGACUUACCCAAAACCUCACAGCUAAUAAACGGCAGAGCCGGCACCCAGCUGUACUGGCUUCCAGCGCAUCCCAUUAUCUCCAUAAAUCCCCCUGAUUCAACUAAUAUUAGACGCCCCACAGGUAAGAUGCUUCAGAGUUAGAGGGGAGUUGAAGAUACCUUUGCCUUCAAAGAAGUAAGGAAUGAAACAAAGAUAAAACAGACAAUAAAAGACAAACCAUGAUAGGUGCCACGUGAAAAGUGGCAGAGUACUGCCGGGAAUCAAAGAACCGUGUAUAUCUGUCUUGGGGAUAAGGAAAGAAACGCAGCAUGAAGGAGUAGGCAUUUGGGAUUGACCUUGAAGGAGACAGGGAGAGUUUUACAGCAAGAAGGGAUAGCAUGAGAAUAUAUAUGAAGGCGAAUCAGUGAAAGUUGUGUUGGGGAAAGAGCAAAGACUCCAGGUAUGUUGAGAGGUAGAAAAGACAAAGGAGUAUGGGGCCUAAGAUACCAAAUGGAUGAAUUUAUAUUUAAUUCAGUAUUUUGAGUUUUUAUGGUUCAGAAGUUUGGGGGAAGAAAAGGAAGGUUUUUUUUUUCUUUAUGCUAGUGAUUUAUCUGUGAAGGGAAGCAGAAAUCAGAGGUGGAAAAACUGACAGAUCUACUGUAGGCCAGGUAAAAGGUAAUGAUGAGUCUGACCUAAAGGGACAGCCAGGGGAAUUUAAAGAGCAUAGUUGAGAGAUGAUGUGCAUGCAGAAUCUAUAGAAUUUGCUAACUGAUUGAUUAAUUGUGGGUAGGAAGAGAGAAAUCAAAGAAAGUGGAGGUUUUGAGUUUCUAGAUAAUUGCAAGAGAGAAAAGAGACAAUUACAAAGGAAAGGAGAAGGAGCUACUUCUUGAGAGAAGAUCAGUUUAGAUUUAGACAUUUUAAGAAUUCAAAGGGUUGUCAAGACAGCCAGACGGACAUGGACACUAAUAAGUUAGAAAUAAAGGUUUUGUAAUAUGGGAAAGAGGACUGAGCUAGAAAAUAGACUCAUAGAUAAUCAGCCUAGGAGUGAUAUUGCUGUGAGAUAAAAGAAGAAAACAAAGUCAGAAUCUUGGAAAACACCCUCUUCAGAGUCUCGCUGCUCAAAACGUGGUCAGUGGCCCAGCAGCACUGACAUGAGGACCUUAGUUGGAAACUCAGAAUCUCAGGCUCCACCCCAGACCUGCUGAACCAGCAUCUUCAACUUAACAAGAACCCGAAGAGAUUUGUGCCACAUCAAAAAGUUUGAGAAGCUCUGAUCUAGCUGGACCCUGGACACGGUGACUCUGAUUCAAUUAUGCAGAUGACCACAAGCCUCUGGGGUUGGCAGAGCCACAAGAAAGAAGGUGCCUGGAUGAAGGAGAGCUACCCACUGACCUGGACACCCAAUUAUGUCAUAGGUGCUGCAAUCUAGAGACAAAAUAUUCCUUACACUGCCAGAUACUUGCAAACUAAGGGGAACGAGCUUCCCUCUGAAUGUUUAUGAAGGAGAGACCACUGUGUCAUCUGUCUUAGAGCUAUUGGAAUCCUGGAUCAUUGUGGGAAAUGAAAAGAACUGGUUUUUAGCAAGGAGACCAAGAAACUCUACUCCCUAGGGGCUAGCAAUGAGAGAAAGGAAGCCUUGAGUCUUUGAGCACAGGGUGACAGUUUGGGUCCUAUGUGAGAUGAUCAAAUCCACAGCAACAGAGGAAAGGACAAAAGGAAAAGAUACUUCGAUGGAAUCAGCAGCCAUUGAUCCAAUGCCAACUCCAAGACUGGAACGUCGCAAUGAUAGUUCCAAGGCGGAAAUUUGAC
Molecule: long non-coding RNA, 2361 nt
Filed under: Homo sapiens (human)
Lineage: Eukaryota; Metazoa; Chordata; Mammalia; Primates; Hominidae
Description: HSALNT0353260
Source: RNAcentral